AUUGAACGCUGGCGGCAUGCUUAACACAUGGAAGUCGAACGGUAACAGGUCUAGCUUGCUAGAUGCUGACGAGUGGCGGACGGGUGAGUAACGCGUGGGAAUCUGCCUUCUAGUGGGGGAUAGCCCGGAGAAAUCCGGAUUAAUACCGCAUACGCCCUACGGGGGAAAGCCGGGGAUCUUCGGACCUGGCGCUAGUAGAUGAGCCCGCGUGAGAUUAGCUUGUUGGUGGGGUAAUGGCCUACCAAGGCAACGAUCUCUAGCUGGUCUGAGAGGACGAUCAGCCACACUGGGACUGAGACACGGCCCAGACUCCUACGGGAGGCAGCAGUGGGGAAUAUUGGACAAUGGGCGAAAGCCUGAUCCAGCAAUGCCGCGUGUGUGAAGAAGGCCUGAGGGUUGUAAAGCACUUUCAAUCGUGAAGAAAAGUUGCAGGCUAAUACCCUGUGACCUUGACGUUAACGAUACAAGAAGCACCGGCUAACUCCGUG
Molecule: ribosomal RNA, 488 nt
Filed under: uncultured bacterium
Lineage: Bacteria
Description: bacterial SSU rRNA
Rfam family: Bacterial small subunit ribosomal RNA
Source: RNAcentral